AUCCGUAUUGUUCUGUAAAAAACUUACGGAUCAAGUUGAUUUGUAAAAGGCUUACGAAUCAACUUGAUCCGUAAGCCUUUUACAAAACAAUACCGAU
Molecule: microRNA precursor, 97 nt
Filed under: Glycine max (soybean)
Lineage: Eukaryota; Viridiplantae; Streptophyta; Magnoliopsida; Fabales; Fabaceae
Description: miR4343a stem-loop (gma-MIR4343a)
Source: miRBase by way of RNAcentral